RNAcentral lists this small RNA (68 nucleotides) under Rhodococcus sp. OK270. RNAcentral's name for it is "ASdes TB sRNA". It matches the Rfam family "ASdes TB sRNA". Lineage: Bacteria; Bacillati; Actinomycetota; Actinomycetes; Mycobacteriales; Nocardiaceae. The record is from RNAcentral. RNAcentral also lists the same sequence under 1 other name.
AGCUCGACGGGGUCGACGGCGCGGGUCACGACGAGGUAAUCGCGCAUCACGAUGCCGUGCCGGUUCUC